Molecule: ribosomal RNA, 253 nt
Filed under: uncultured bacterium
Lineage: Bacteria
Description: partial 16S ribosomal RNA
Rfam family: Bacterial small subunit ribosomal RNA
Source: RNAcentral
UACGUAGGGUGCAAGCGUUAAUCGGAAUUACUGGGCGUAAAGCGUGCGCAGGCGGUUUUAUAAGUCAGCUGUGAAAUCCCCGGGCUUAACCUGGGAAUGGCAGUUGAGACUGUAAGGCUAGAGUGUGUCAGAGGGGGGUAGAAUUCCACGUGUAGCAGUGAAAUGCGUAGAGAUGUGGAGGAACACCGAUGGCGAAGGCAGCCCCCUGGGAUAACACUGACGCUCAUGCACGAAAGCGUGGGGAGCAAACAGG